GACGAACGCUGGCGGCGUGCUUAACACAUGCAAGUCGAACGCUGAAGCUCAGCUUUUGUUGGGUGGAUGAGUGGCGAACGGGUGAGUAACACGUGAGUAACCUGCCUCCUUCUUUGGGAUAACGCCCGGAAACGGGUGCUAAUACUGGAUAUUCACUGGUCUUCGCAUGGGGGUUGGUGGAAAGGGUUUUUCUGGUGGGGGAUGGGCUCGCGGCCUAUCAGCUUGGUGGGGGGGGGAUGGCCUACCAAGGCUUUGACGGGUAGCCGGUAUGAGAGGGUGACCGGUAACAUUGGGACGGAGCAGCGGCCCAGACGACGCAGGGAGGCAGAAGUGGGGAAUAUUGCACAAUGGGCGCAAGCCUGAUGCAGCGACGCUGAGUGAGGGAUGGAGGCCUUAGGGUUGUGAACCUCUUUCGCUCAUGGUCAAGCCGCAACAAUGGUUGUGGUGAGGGUAGUGGGUAAAGAAGCGCCGGCUAACUACGUG
Molecule: ribosomal RNA, 483 nt
Filed under: uncultured bacterium
Lineage: Bacteria
Description: partial 16S ribosomal RNA
Rfam family: Bacterial small subunit ribosomal RNA
Source: RNAcentral